AGGGAAGGGUGAAUCAUCGAAUCUUUGAACGCACAUUGCGCCCGCCAGUAUUCUGGCGGGCAUGCCUGUUCGAGCGUCAUUUCAACCAUCAAGCCCCUGGCUUGUGUUGGGGACCUGCGGCUGCCCGCAGGCCCUGAAAACCAGUGGCGGGCUCGCUGUCACCCCGAGCGUAGUAGCAAUCACCUCGCUCAGGGCGUGCCGCGGGCACCGGCCGUUAAAGCUGCCUUCGCGCAACACCCAAGGUUGACCUCGGAUCAGGUAGGAAGACCCGCUGAACUUAAGCAUAUCAAUAAGCGGAGG
This 300-nucleotide unclassified non-coding RNA is filed under the name uncultured Chaetomiaceae. RNAcentral describes it as "sequence contains 5.8S rRNA gene, ITS2". The stretch from base 1 to 79 matches the Rfam family "5.8S ribosomal RNA", at positions 76 to 154 of the family's 154-position model. Lineage: Eukaryota; Fungi; Ascomycota; Sordariomycetes; Sordariales. The record is from RNAcentral.